UUUGGUGGUCAUAGCGCGAGCAAAACACCCGGAUCCAUUCCGAACCCGGCCGUUAAGUGCCGUCGCGCCGAUGGUACUGCGUCUCAAGACGUGGGAGAGUAGGUCACCGCCAAAC
Citreicella sp. SE45 is the source of this 115-nucleotide non-coding RNA. The record is from Rfam. NCBI's taxonomy places the organism in Bacteria, Pseudomonadati, Pseudomonadota, Alphaproteobacteria, Rhodobacterales, Roseobacteraceae.